GGACGAACGCUGGCGGCGUGCCUAAUACAUGCAAGUCGAACGGUCUUUCUAUGGAAGCUUGCUCCACUGAGAAGAUAGUGGCGGAACGGGUGGAGUAACACGUGGGUAACCUGCCCAUAAGAGGGGGAGUAACAUCCGAAACGGGUGCCAAUACCGCAUAGUUUCUUGAUCGCAUGAUUGAGAAAGGAAAGACGGCCUUUGUGCUGUCGCUUAUGGAUGGACCCGCGGCGUAUUAGUUAGUUGGUGAGGUAACGGCUCACCAAGACGAUGAUACGUAGCCGACCUGAGAGGGUGAUCGGCCACAUUGGGACUGAGACACGGCCCAAACUCCUACGGGAGGCAGCAGUAGGGAAUCUUCCGCAAUGGACGAAAGUCUGACGGAGCAACGCCGCGUGAGUGAAAGAAGGUUUUCGGAUCGUAAAACUCUGUUGUCAGAGAAGAACAAGUUGGAGAGUAACUGCUCCAGCCUUGACGGUAUCUGACCAGAAAGCCACGGCUAACUACGUGCCAGCCGCGGC
This 518-nucleotide ribosomal RNA is filed under the name uncultured bacterium. RNAcentral describes it as "bacterial SSU rRNA". It matches the Rfam family "Bacterial small subunit ribosomal RNA", at positions 27 to 518 of the family's 1533-position model. The record is from RNAcentral.